RNAcentral lists this ribosomal RNA (742 nucleotides) under uncultured bacterium. RNAcentral's name for it is "bacterial SSU rRNA". It matches the Rfam family "Bacterial small subunit ribosomal RNA", at positions 8 to 796 of the family's 1533-position model. The record is from RNAcentral.
AGAGUUUGAUCAUGGCUCAGAGCGAACGCUGGCGGCAGGCUUAACACAUGCAAGUCGAACGGGCACUUCGGUGCUAGUGGCAGACGGGUGAGUAACACGUGGGAACGUACCUUUCGGUUCGGAAUAAUUCAGGGAAACUUGGACUAAUACCGGAUAAGCCCUUCGGGGGAAAGAUUUAUCGCCGAUAGAUCGGCCCGCGUCUGAUUAGCUAGUUGGUGAGGUAACGGCUCACCAAGGCGACGAUCAGUAGCUGGUCUGAGAGGAUGAUCAGCCACAUUGGGACUGAGACACGGCCCAAACUCCUACGGGAGGCAGCAGUGGGGAAUAUUGGACAAUGGGCGAAAGCCUGAUCCAGCCAUGCCGCGUGUGUGAUGAAGGCCUUAGGGUUGUAAAGCACUUUUGUCCGGGAAGAUAAUGACUGUACCGGAAGAAUAAGCCCCGGCUAACUUCGUGCCAGCAGCCGCGGUAAUACGAAGGGGGCUAGCGUUGCUCGGAAUCACUGGGCGUAAAGGGCGCGUAGGCGGACUCUUAAGUCGGGGGUGAAAGCCCAGGGCUCAACCCUGGAAUUGCCUUCGAUACUGAGAGUCCUGAGUUCGGAAGAGGUUGGUGGAACUGCGAGUGUAGAGGUGAAAUUCGUAGAUAUUCGCAAGAACACCAGUGGCGAGGGCGGCCAACUGGUCCGAUACUGACGCUGAGGCGCGAAAGCGUGGGGAGCAAACAGGAUUAGAUACCCCGGUAGUCC